RNAcentral lists this ribosomal RNA (468 nucleotides) under uncultured bacterium. Its description in RNAcentral is "partial 16S ribosomal RNA". It matches the Rfam family "Bacterial small subunit ribosomal RNA", at positions 28 to 507 of the family's 1533-position model. The record is from RNAcentral.
GACGAACGCCGGCGGCGUGCUUAACACAUGCAAGUCGAACGGAAAGGCCCUGCUUUUGUUGUUUCCUCGAGUGGCGCACGCGUGAGUAACACGUGUGUAACCUGCCCUUGACUUUGGGAUAACUUCAUGAAACUCGGUCUCAUACCCGACAUGAGCUCCUGCUGCAUGGUAUGUGUUCGAAAAAUUCGGCGGUUGGGGAUGGCCGCGGGGCUCAUCGUCUUGUUGGCUGGGUAGUGGCUGACCAAGGCUGUGACGGGUAGCUGGCCAGAGAGGGUGACCGGCGACCUGGGGACUGCGAUACGGCGCAGACGGCAACGGGAGGCAGCAGUGGGGAAUAUUGCAGAAUGGGCGGAAGCCUGAUGCAGAGGCGCCGCGUGCGGGAUGACGGGCUGCGGGUUGUAAACCGCUUUCGCAUGGGAAGAAGCGUGAGUGACGGUAAUGGGUAAAGAAGCACCGGCUAACUACGUG